GGAGAUGUAGUUCAGUGGUAGAGCUCAUGCUUACUAUGUAUGAGACUUCUGGGCUCAAUCCCCGAAUCCCCC
RNAcentral lists this transfer RNA (72 nucleotides) under Cricetulus griseus (Chinese hamster). It matches the Rfam family "tRNA". From Rfam's summary of the family: Transfer RNA (tRNA) molecules are approximately 80 nucleotides in length. Their secondary structure includes four short double-helical elements and three loops (D, anti-codon, and T loops). Further hydrogen bonds mediate the characteristic L-shaped molecular structure. tRNAs have two regions of fundamental functional importance: the anti-codon, which is responsible for specific mRNA codon recognition, and the 3' end, to which the tRNAs corresponding amino acid is attached (by aminoacyl-tRNA synthetases). tRNAs cope with the degeneracy of the genetic code in two manners: having more than one tRNA (with a specific anti-codon) for a particular amino acid; and 'wobble' base-pairing, i.e. permitting non-standard base-pairing at the 3rd anti-codon position. The record is from Rfam by way of RNAcentral. Lineage: Eukaryota; Metazoa; Chordata; Mammalia; Rodentia; Cricetidae.